AUACGGAGGGUGCAAGCGUUGUUCGGAAUCACUGGGCGUAAAGGGCGCGCAGGCGGUUUGGUAAGUCAGAUGUGAAAGCCCACGGCUCAACCGUGGAAGUGCAUUUGAAACUGUCAGACUUGAGUACUAGAGGGGAAAGUGGAAUUCCCGGUGUAGAGGUGAAAUUCGUAGAUAUCGGGAGGAAUACCGGUGGCGAAGGCGACUUUCUGGCUAGAUACUGACGCUGAGGUGCGAAAGCGUGGGUAGCAAACGGGAUUAGAUACCCUAGUAGUCC
This 274-nucleotide ribosomal RNA is filed under the name uncultured bacterium. Its description in RNAcentral is "partial 16S ribosomal RNA". It matches the Rfam family "Bacterial small subunit ribosomal RNA", at positions 523 to 796 of the family's 1533-position model. The record is from RNAcentral.